Molecule: ribosomal RNA, 253 nt
Filed under: uncultured bacterium
Lineage: Bacteria
Description: partial 16S ribosomal RNA
Rfam family: Bacterial small subunit ribosomal RNA
Source: RNAcentral
UACGUAGGGUGCGAGCGUUGUCCGGAAUUAUUGGGCGUAAAGAGCUCGUAGGCGGUGUGUCACGUCGGCCGUGAAAACCUGCAGCUUAACUGUGGGCGUGCGGUCGAUACGGGCAGGCUAGAGUUCGGUAGGGGAGACUGGAAUUCCUGGUGUAGCGGUGAAAUGCGCAGAUAUCAGGAGGAACACCGGUGGCGAAGGCGGGUCUCUGGGCCGAUAUUGACGCUGAGGAGCGAAAGCGUGGGGAGCGAACAGG